AGCAGCCGCGGUAAUUCCAGCUCCAAUAGCGUAUAUUAAAGUUGUUGCAGUUAAAAAGCUCGUAGUUGAAUUUCGGAGUCAGUAAGUUGGUCGUGCCACUGGUAUGUACUGGCUUUACUGAUUCCUCCCUCUUGUAAAACCGUAAUGCCAUUAAUUUGGUGUUGCGGGGAAACAGGACUGUUACUUUGAAAAAAUUAGAGUGUUUAAAGCAGGCUAACGCUUGAAUACAUUAGCAUGGAAUAAUGAAAUAGGACGUUCGAUCUUAUUUUGUUGGUUUCUAAGAUUGACGUAAUGAUUAAUAGGGAUAGUUGGGGGCAUUAGUAUUCAAUUGUCAGAGGUGAAAUUCUUGGAUUUAUUGAAGACUAACUACUGCGAAAGCAUUUGCCAAGGAUGUUUUCAUUAAUCAAGAACGAAAGUUAGGGGAUCGAAGACGAUCAGAUACCGUCGUAGUCUUAACCAUAAACUAUGCCGACUAGGGAUCGGAUGAUGUUAAUUUUAUAAUGACUCAUUCGGCGCCUUA
This 520-nucleotide ribosomal RNA is filed under the name uncultured Glomus. RNAcentral describes it as "SSU rRNA". It matches the Rfam family "Eukaryotic small subunit ribosomal RNA", at positions 569 to 1090 of the family's 1831-position model. The record is from RNAcentral. Lineage: Eukaryota; Fungi; Glomeromycota; Glomeromycetes; Glomerales; Glomeraceae.